UACGGGGGGGGCAAGCGUUGUUCGGAAUUACUGGGCGUAAAGGGCUCGUAGGCGGCCAACUAAGUCAGACGUGAAAUCCCUCGGCUUAACCGGGGAACUGCAUCUGAUACUGGAUGGCUUGGAUUCGGGAGAGGGAUGCGGAAUUCCAGGUGUAGCGGUGAAAUGCGUAGAUAUCUGGAGGAACACCGGUGGCGAAGGCAGCAUCCUGGACCGAUAUUGACGCUGAGGAGCGAAAGCUAGGGGAGCAAACGGG
RNAcentral lists this ribosomal RNA (253 nucleotides) under uncultured bacterium. RNAcentral's name for it is "partial 16S ribosomal RNA". It matches the Rfam family "Bacterial small subunit ribosomal RNA", at positions 524 to 776 of the family's 1533-position model. The record is from RNAcentral.